Molecule: ribosomal RNA, 478 nt
Filed under: uncultured bacterium
Lineage: Bacteria
Description: partial 16S ribosomal RNA
Rfam family: Bacterial small subunit ribosomal RNA
Source: RNAcentral
GACGAACGCUGGCGGCGUGCUUAACACAUGCAAGUCGAACGGUAAGGCCCUUCGGGGUACACGAGUGGCGAACGGGUGAGUAACACGUGGGUGAUCUGCCCUGCACUUCGGGAUAAGCCUGGGAAACUGGGUCUAAUACCGGAUAGGACCCUGGGAUGCAUGUCCUGGGGUGGAAAGCUUUUGCGGUGUGGGAUGGGCCCGCGGCCUAUCAGCUUGUUGGUGGGGUGAUGGCCUACCAAGGCGACGACGGGUAGCCGGCCGGGGAGGGUGACCGGCCACACUGGGCCGGGGAUACGGCCGAGACGCCUACGGGAGGCAGCAGUGGGGAAUAUUGCACAAUGGGCGCAAGCCUGAUGCAGCGACGCCGCGUGAGGGAUGACGGCCUUCGGGUUGUAAACCUCUUUCAGCACCGACGAAGCGCAAGUGACGGUAGGUGCAGAAGAAGGACCGGCCAACUACGUGCCAGCCGCCGCCGCCG